CCAAUGUGGACACCCUGGGAGGUUGGCAUAGGGAAGCAUAAGGCUCUGCCUCAUGACGUGCAAUCCUUUUCCACGACACUGGAGAUAAGCCUGUCCCUUGAGUUUGUACCUACAUAUUCCUAUGGCUUCUCAGAGUCCUACAGAUAAUGACUGAGGAGACAAAUCAUUCAGGAAACAUAA
Molecule: small nucleolar RNA, 180 nt
Organism: Myotis lucifugus (little brown bat)
Lineage: Eukaryota; Metazoa; Chordata; Mammalia; Chiroptera; Vespertilionidae
Gene: SNORA73
Rfam family: Small nucleolar RNA SNORA73 family
About the family: U17 (SNORA73A and SNORA73B) also known as E1 belongs to the H/ACA class of small nucleolar RNAs (snoRNAs). Vertebrate U17 is intron-encoded and ranges in length from 200-230 nucleotides, longer than most snoRNAs.
Source: Ensembl